Long non-coding RNA from Gasterosteus aculeatus aculeatus (three-spined stickleback), 3332 nucleotides. NCBI's taxonomy places the organism in Eukaryota, Metazoa, Chordata, Actinopteri, Perciformes, Gasterosteidae. The record is from Ensembl.
ACACUGCAAAUUAUUUGAAUCUUAUCAAGAUAAAAAAACUUAGAUUUAGAAGUGUUAGAUAAUUGAUCUUGUUUUAAGAGUGAAUUUCUUAUUUUUAGUGUUUAACUUUACACUAAAAUCUUAAAUCAAGCACAACCUUAUCUUUUUUGUCUCAAAUAGGCAUGACAUCUUAAAAUGAGUCAAAUAACUGUUAAAUUAAGAUCUUUUACAUCUCUCCCUCAAAUUCUCAUCAAUAAAGCUUGUUUUAAGAUUCAGUAAACUCAAGUUGCUUGAUUCAAGAGUCACACAAAAAGCAUCUGAAAGAAACAGAGUUUAUUAUUGCUCUGACUUCAAGCAUGUUCAGACAAUGUGAGGAUAAAUUAUACAGCCUUCACCACAACUCACCAUACAGUCCAUGGAAUUGUUUAAUGACCAAAACAGUUUGUUAACAAAAACAGGUCCAGGAAACCGGCAAACUUGAUCACCCAAUAAAUCAAUGCUUCCCUUUCAUUCCUCCAUUUUAAUGUCUACUUCUGUGGGCAAUAAUAUCACAAAGACUAUAUUUUAUUGGCACAAACAUAUGUUCCUUGAAACUAACAGAAAAAUAAGAAAUACAGUCAAUGAGUUCAUGUACAAAUUCUGUAGCCUGGGCAACAUUGGGAACUGCCACCUCAUAUGCCAGCAAUUCUGGACUCAAAUUCAGUGUCUCAUAACGCUGGUACUCAAAAGCAACAUAAGAGGAAUCAAUCACAAAUAUAUCUUUUAUCAGUCCGAACACUGGGAAAGCAUCAUCUACAUCUACAAUAAUCAUAGAUUUACCACUAAUGUACUUAUUGCCAUUGAGGAUGUACCAUUUCACUGAGACAACAGAUUGCAUGACCUCUACGCCUAGAAAAUCUUUGACUUUUCUCUUGACAUAAUCAAAAUUUUUGACAGCUGAGACAGGCCCCGAUUCUCUUUCACUAGCAAAAAUUGGAUGCUCAAUGCCUAUUUCAUUUUGACAACAUUCAAGGAACUGGUUAUGGUUUGCAAGCGAUUUACAGACAUUUUUGAAAUUUAACUUAGAAGCCCACUGCUUAAAAUAACUGUGCUUAGCUUCAAAUCGCAUACACAUACUUCUUAUUAAUGGACCAAGAGAUAUGAUUUGGCUUGGUAGAUGUAACAUGUAAUGUUGCUUGGGUAUUACAUUGGCUUCAGAGAAAAGUUCUUUGAAAUGAUGCAGAUGUUGCUCAAUCAUGCGUCUGAGCCGUAAUACGGUUUCUAAAGAAAUAACAGGAGCAAGGACAAUUUGAACAAUCUCAAUUAACUUGAGAAUAAAUUUGACAUACUCGUUGUCCAUACCGUUCAAAAGAAAAGGUAGGAUUUUUAAAAGUAUCAACAUUUGUCCACAUGACUGCUUUAAUUUAUUGUCAUUAGCAGCUAAAGUACUGACACUAAUAGGACAUGGCUUAUCUCUUAUGUCUAGAGGUGAGUAAGGAAAAUUUAGAAUAGCUGAGUUAAUCUCAUCUAAUUCUAUCUGUCCUGACAGAAUCAGGUUUUUUAAUACAAGCUUUAUUUCCAUUGGUGCAACACCUUCAAAAAUUACAUGCAUUAUAUCCUGUGGUGUUUGUUUGAUCAGAUCAAAUGCUGGAACAUCAACUAGUCUGCUUCUUCUGUUAAUCCCAUAAGUGGUUUUGAGGGAUGCUUUCAAUGUUUCUGUGCUUGCCUUAUCUAUUUCAACACACUGCCUAAUGUGCUUUUCCAAAGUUCUUUCAGCAAACCUAUUCUCCUCAAAAAUACUUUGCAUAUCCUCAAAGGAGCAUUCACAAUGUCUACAUUUGCUAUAAGCAAAACCAACACCUUGUUUAAAUCCAGCAAUAUCAUGUUGGGCAAGUGUGUCUCCACAUAUGGCGAUCACAGCACCAAACAACUCAAUUUCACCAUUUGGGGUGUCAAUCCUAACACCAUUGUACAGAAGUGUCAGAUCUUUUUGGAUUCUUUUUAGUAUAACAUCAACACCCCACUGAGAAAUAUUGUUUGCCUUGGCAAUAGCCAGGAGUCUUAUUGCAGCCAACUUCGACCUAAAUUUUGGAUCUAUAUUCCCUAAACUAUAAUAAAACAUCAGUAAUUUAUUUGCAGAGGCAUGGGCGCCUAAAGGGUUACAUAUUUCAAUUUCAUCGGUGUACAAUAGUAUUUGCAAUGCAUUUGGCCUUUGAGAAUAUAAUGGAUGGGAUGUAAAAAGGGCUCCAUCAGUAAAAUCAUACAAGAAUCCCUCACUUCUUUGUGGUACAGUGGUUAACAUGGUGAAGAUUCUGGGAUUGGUCAGUAACUGCUUAAGACUUUGAAUGAGUGGUACAUAGUAAAAACUUUUGCCUCUUAAGGCCAUGACCCUUGAAAGACCACGCUUUACCCAACAAAUCUUCUGGGACACCACAACUUCCUCUGGGUUGACUGGAUUGAAAUAGUUCCCGGAUGGUUUUAUUCUGUCCAUAUGCUGUGGUUGAGAAAGGAUCCAUGAACGCAUCAAACGUAGCCAAAGCCUCCCCUUGGAGCUGAGCAGUUGUGUCUGGAUUCUCUUCAAACACACUUCUGAUUCUCUCCCUUAGUGUGUCAAUGAGAGCAGCUUGGUACUGUUGCACCCCUGAGAUGACACUGUUGACAGUUCUCUGGGAAAAUAUUUAAAAUGUAAAUAAUUUUGUCACCCAUAUAAUUCACAGGCCCAUAUUUUACAUUAGAAUAAUUUAAAUUAAUAGUACCAUUAAAGCAUUUGCCCAUGAAGAUAAAUUUACCUGUGAUAACUGGCACUGUUCCCGGACACUGAUGGCGAAUGCCGCUGCGGAUCUAGCUAUAUCAGGUCUGGUUCUGGAGGUCACAGCAACAGCGUCUUCCUUUAUAAAAUGAGUUGUAAUUUUUUAAGAGCGAGUAGAUGGACACAGUCAAAGUUGCAAUUGAUUUGAAAGGAAAUGGACAUUUUUGAGGAGAUGCCCGAGAGGGGAAAGACUUCAUUUUAAUCCCGUAUUCGCUUCACUGGUCUGGAACCUGAGCAGCUCUAUCGUCUAAGGCGGCCGUCAGCUUCAGGCUGUGGUGACGGUUCAGGUAAAGAGGCAUCAGGUGGGACAGCCGUAGUGCUGGCCGCUGCAGGAGUGCUACAGCUGGCAAACACCGAAACACCAAAUGUUUCCUGUCCCAAAGACCGAGAAGAAGGCGUCGUACUCCAUCCGCUUGGUGGGCAUCCAGUCCUCAAAUACUGAAGGUGCGUCCGUUUAAUGUGGCGAAAGAAAGAGUUAAAAACUCUAAAGUCCUGUUCACAUCCAUCAAUACCACAGUAAACCCAAAAAUCCGGGCUGCGACUGUGACUUUUAUUAAUGUGGCUA